RNAcentral lists this ribosomal RNA (234 nucleotides) under uncultured bacterium. RNAcentral describes it as "partial 16S ribosomal RNA". It matches the Rfam family "Bacterial small subunit ribosomal RNA", at positions 794 to 1020 of the family's 1533-position model. The record is from RNAcentral.
UCCUGGCCCUAAACGAUGUCCACUAGGUCGAUGGUCCUCUGACGGUUUGUCGGCCGAAGAAAAAUUGAUAAGUGGACCGCCUGGGGAGUACGGUCGCAAGGCUAAAACUCAAAGGAAUUGACGGGGGCUCACACAAGCGGUGGAGCAUGUUGCUCAAUUCGAUGCAACGCGAAGAACCUUAUCCUGGGCUUGACAUGUACGGAUGCCGACCUGGAAACAGAAUCGGCUGCCCUU